RNAcentral lists this ribosomal RNA (253 nucleotides) under uncultured bacterium. RNAcentral describes it as "partial 16S ribosomal RNA". It matches the Rfam family "Bacterial small subunit ribosomal RNA", at positions 524 to 776 of the family's 1533-position model. The record is from RNAcentral.
UACGUAGGGGGCAAGCGUUAUCCGGAUUCACUGGGUGUAAAGGGAGCGUAGACGGCCAUGCAAGCCUGGAGUGAAAGCCCGGGGCCCAACCCCGGGACUGCUCUGGGAACUGUGCGGCUGGAGUAUGGGAGGGGUAAGCGGAAUUCCUGGUGUAGCGGUGAAAUGCGUAGAUAUCAGGAGGAACACCGGUGGCGAAGGCGGCUUACUGGACCAUGACUGACGUUGAGGCUCGAAAGCGUGGGGAGCGAACAGG